This 206-nucleotide unclassified non-coding RNA is filed under the name soil metagenome. Its description in RNAcentral is "partial contains 5.8S ribosomal RNA, internal transcribed spacer 2, and large subunit ribosomal RNA". The record is from RNAcentral.
AACGCACGAGACCUGCGGACCUGCGGAGGGAUCAUUACCGAGUUUACAACUCCCAAACCCCUGUGAACAUACCACUUGUUGCCUCGGCGGAUCAGCCCGCUCCCGGUAAAACGGGACGGCCCGCCAGAGGACCCCUAAACUCUGUUUCUAUAUGUAACUUCUGAGUAAAACCAUAAAUAAAUCAAAACUUUUAGCAAUGGAUCUCU